GGGUUGUGAGGUUAAGCGACUAAGCGUACACGGUGGAUGCCCUGGCAGUCAGAGGCGAUGAAGGACGUGCUAAUCUGCGAUAAGCGCCGGUAAGGUGAUAUGAACCGUUAUAACCGGCGAUUUCCGAAUGGGGAAACCCAGUGUGACUCGUCACACUAUCAUUAACUGAAUCCAUAGGUUAAUGAGGCGAACCGGGGGAACUGAAACAUCUAAGUACCCCGAGGAAAAGAAAUCAACCGAGAUUCCCCCAGUAGCGGCGAGCGAACGGGGAGGAGCCCAGAGCCUGAAUCAGCAUGUGUGUUAGUGGAAGCGUCUGGAAAGGCGCGCGAUACAGGGUGACAGCCCCGUACACAAAAGCGCAUGUGCUGUGAGCUCGAUGAGUAGGGCGGGACACGUGGUAUCCUGUCUGAAUAUGGGGGGACCAUCCUCCAAGGCUAAAUACUCCUGACUGACCGAUAGUGAACCAGUACCGUGAGGGAAAGGCGAAAAGAACCCCGGCGAGGGGAGUGAAAAAGAACCUGAAACCGUGUACGUACAAGCAGUGGGAGCACAGGUUUACCUGUGUGACUGCGUACCUUUUGUAUAAUGGGUCAGCGACUUAUAUUCUGUAGCAAGGUUAACCGAAUAGGGGAGCCGUAGGGAAACCGAGUCUUAAUUGGGCGUUAAGUUGCAGGGUAUAGACCCGAAACCCGGUGAUCUAGCCAUGGGCAGGUUGAAGGUUGGGUAACACUAACUGGAGGACCGAACCGACUAAUGUUGAAAAAUUAGCGGAUGACCUGUGGCUGGGGGUGAAAGGCCAAUCAAACCGGGAGAUAGCUGGUUCUCCCCGAAAGCUAUUUAGGUAGCGCCUCGUGAAUUCAUCUCCGGGGGUAGAGCACUGUUUCGGCUAGGGGGCCAUCCCGGCUUACCAACCCGAUGCAAACUGCGAAUACCGGAGAAUGUUAUCACGGGAGACACACGGCGGGUGCUAACGUCCGUCGUGAAGAGGGAAACAACCCAGACCGCCAGCUAAGGUCCCAAAGUCAUGGUUAAGUGGGAAACGAUGUGGGAAGGCCCAGACAGCCAGGAUGUUGGCUUAGAAGCAGCCAUCAUUUAAAGAAAGCGUAAUAGCUCACUGGUCGAGUCGGCCUGCGCGGAAGAUGUAACGGGGCUAAACCAUGCACCGAAGCUGCGGCAGCGACGCUGAUGCGUUGUUGGGUAGGGGAGCGUUCUGUAAGCCUGCGAAGGUGGCCUGUGAGGGUUGCUGGAGGUAUCAGAAGUGCGAAUGCUGACAUAAGUAACGAUAAAGCGGGUGAAAAGCCCGCUCGCCGGAAGACCAAGGGUUCCUGUCCAACGUUAAUCGGGGCAGGGUGAGUCGACCCCUAAGGCGAGGCCGAAAGGCGUAGUCGAUGGGAAACGGGUUAAUAUUCCCGUACUUGGUGUUACUGCGAAGGGGGGACGGAGAAGGCUAUGUUGGCCGGGCGACGGUUGUCCCGGUUUAAGCGUGUAGGUGUGUGUUCCAGGUAAAUCCGGUUCACUUUAACACUGAGGCGUGACGACGAGGCACUACGGUGCUGAAGCAACAAAUGCCCUGCUUCCAGGAAAAGCCUCUAAGCAUCAGGUAACACGAAAUCGUACCCCAAACCGACACAGGUGGUCAGGUAGAGAAUACCAAGGCGCUUGAGAGAACUCGGGUGAAGGAACUAGGCAAAAUGGUGCCGUAACUUCGGGAGAAGGCACGCUGACACGUAGGUGAAGUGAUUUACUCAUGGAGCUGAAGUCAGUCGAAGAUACCAGCUGGCUGCAACUGUUUAUUAAAAACACAGCACUGUGCAAACACGAAAGUGGACGUAUACGGUGUGACGCCUGCCCGGUGCCGGAAGGUUAAUUGAUGGGGUCAGCGCAAGCGAAGCUCCUGAUCGAAGCCCCGGUAAACGGCGGCCGUAACUAUAACGGUCCUAAGGUAGCGAAAUUCCUUGUCGGGUAAGUUCCGACCUGCACGAAUGGCGUAAUGAUGGCCAGGCUGUCUCCACCCGAGACUCAGUGAAAUUGAACUCGCUGUGAAGAUGCAGUGUACCCGCGGCAAGACGGAAAGACCCCGUGAACCUUUACUAUAGCUUGACACUGAACAUUGAGCCUUGAUGUGUAGGAUAGGUGGGAGGCUUUGAAGUGUGGACGCCAGUCUGCAUGGAGCCGACCUUGAAAUACCACCCUUUAAUGUUUGAUGUUCUAACGUGGACCCGUUACCCGGGUUGCGGACAGUGUCUGGUGGGUAGUUUGACUGGGGCGGUCUCCUCCUAAAGAGUAACGGAGGAGCACGAAGGUUGGCUAAUCCUGGUCGGACAUCAGGAGGUUAGUGCAAUGGCAUAAGCCAGCUUGACUGCGAGCGUGACGGCGCGAGCAGGUGCGAAAGCAGGUCAUAGUGAUCCGGUGGUUCUGAAUGGAAGGGCCAUCGCUCAACGGAUAAAAGGUACUCCGGGGAUAACAGGCUGAUACCGCCCAAGAGUUCAUAUCGACGGCGGUGUUUGGCACCUCGAUGUCGGCUCAUCACAUCCUGGGGCUGAAGUAGGUCCCAAGGGUAUGGCUGUUCGCCAUUUAAAGUGGUACGCGAGCUGGGUUUAGAACGUCGUGAGACAGUUCGGUCCCUAUCUGCCGUGGGCGCUGGAGAACUGAGGGGGGCUGCUCCUAGUACGAGAGGACCGGAGUGGACGCAUCACUGGUGUUCGGGUUGUCAUGCCAAUGGCACUGCCCGGUAGCUAAAUGCGGAAGAGAUAAGUGCUGAAAGCAUCUAAGCACGAAACUUGCCCCGAGAUGAGUUCUCCCUGAGACUUAGAGUCUCCUGAAGGAACGUUGAAGACGACGACGUUGAUAGGCCGGGUGUGUAAGCGCAGCGAUGCGUUGAGCUAACCGGUACUAAUGAACCGUGAGGCUUAACCUUACAACGCCGAAG
This 2929-nucleotide ribosomal RNA is filed under the name Salmonella enterica subsp. enterica serovar Saintpaul. RNAcentral describes it as "23S ribosomal RNA". It matches the Rfam family "Bacterial large subunit ribosomal RNA". Lineage: Bacteria; Pseudomonadati; Pseudomonadota; Gammaproteobacteria; Enterobacterales; Enterobacteriaceae. The record is from RNAcentral.